AUACAGCAAAGUCAUUAUCAUAACACGCACAGACACACACCAUAACUUUGCUUCGUUGUUCUAAACACCCAGAUUAAAAUUCGGCCACAUCUUCUAGUGUAUGAUGUAUCUGUGGUGUGUGUGAGUGUGAUUUGGGUCAUCAGUAUUGAGGCUGUGUGCUAUAUAUACGCAGGACCUACGGCUACGCAGACUGUUUGGUAACCGUCAAGCUCCAAACCUCCAACAACGCUCAGAAAUGAUGGUAUGACGUUGGCUAAACAGACCUGUGUCCAAUUGCGUGAGGUGAAAUGCAGUUAAGCUACUUUAAGGAGAUCGAGUCGAGUCUUGAAUAAAAAAAGUGACAGAGAGAAGAAGAGGGCCAGGGAGAGACAGAGAAACAUGGCCAGCAGACUCUUGGCGGCUGUGAUGAGGUCGACCACGGAGGUCAGCAGAUCGUUGGGGAGCCGCCGCGAGGUCCUGCUCUCUGAUUGGCUGCUGCGGCGGCGGCCGGAAAUGAAGUUCUGCAGGUUUUUGGCUGAG
This is a long non-coding RNA of Siniperca chuatsi (mandarin fish), 519 nucleotides long. RefSeq lists it as uncharacterized. The transcript is spliced from 3 exons. Lineage: Eukaryota; Metazoa; Chordata; Actinopteri; Centrarchiformes; Sinipercidae. The record is from RefSeq and is a predicted model, not a curated record.